Molecule: ribosomal RNA, 460 nt
Filed under: uncultured bacterium
Lineage: Bacteria
Description: partial 16S ribosomal RNA
Rfam family: Bacterial small subunit ribosomal RNA
Source: RNAcentral
CCUACGGGCGGCUGCAGUGAGGAAUAUUGGUCAAUGGACGAGAGUCUGAACCAGCCAAGUAGCGUGAAGGAUGACUGCCCUAUGGGUUGUAAACUUCUUUUAUAAGGGAAUAAAACGAGGCACGUGUGCCUUUUUGCAUGUACUUUAUGAAUAAGGAUCGGCUAACUCCGUGCCAGCAGCCGCGGUAAUACGGGGGAUCCGAGCGUUAUCCGGAUUUAUUGGGUUUAAAGGGAGCGUAGAUGGGUUGUUAAGUCAGUUGUGAAAGUUUGCGGCUCAACCGUAAAAUUGCAAUUGAUACUGGCAGUCUUGAGUACAGGUGAGGUAGGCGGAAUUCGUGGUGUAGCGGUGAAAUGCUUAGAUAUCACGAAGAACCCCGAUUGCGAAGGCAGCUUACUAAACUGUGACUGACAUUGAUGCUCGAAAGUGUGGGGAUCAAACAGGAUUAGAUACCCCUGUAGUC